This 605-nucleotide ribosomal RNA is filed under the name uncultured bacterium. RNAcentral's name for it is "bacterial SSU rRNA". It matches the Rfam family "Bacterial small subunit ribosomal RNA", at positions 338 to 946 of the family's 1533-position model. The record is from RNAcentral.
CCUACGGGAGGCAGCAGUAAGGAAUAUUGGUCAAUGGACGAAAGUCUGAACCAGCCAUGCCGCGUGAAGGAUUAAGGCCCUCUGGGUUGUAAACUUCUUUUAUCUGGGACGAAAAAAGGGUAUUCUUACUCACUUGACGGUACCAGAGGAAUAAGCACCGGCUAACUCCGUGCCAGCAGCCGCGGUAAUACGGAGGGUGCAAGCGUUAUCCGGAUUUACUGGGUUUAAAGGGUGCGUAGGUGGGCUUGUAAGUCAGUGGUGAAAUCUCCGGGCUUAACCCGGAAACUGCCAUUGAUACUAUAGGUCUUGAAUUAUCUGGAGGUAAGCGGAAUAUGUCAUGUAGCGGUGAAAUGCUUAGAUAUGACAUAGAACACCAAUUGCGAAGGCAGCUUACUACGGAUACAUUGACACUGAGGCACGAAAGCGUGGGGAUCAAACAGGAUUAGAUACCCUGGUAGUCCACGCCCUAAACGAUGGAUACUCGACAUCAGCGAUACACUGUUGGUGUCUGAGCGAAAGCAUAAGUAUCCCACCUGGAAGUACGAUCGCAGAUUGAAACUCAAAGGAAUUGACGGCUGAGAGNGCGAGACGACGACGAGGAGAGG